GGGGGAUAUUGGACAAUGGGCGCAAGCCUGAUCCAGCCAUGCCGCGUGAGUGAUGAAGGCCUUAGGGUUGUAAAGCUCUUUUAGCAGGGACGAUAAUGACGGUACCUGCAGAAAAAGCCCCGGCCAACUUCGUGCCAGCAGCCGCGGUAAUACGAAGGGGGCUAGCGUUGCUCGGAAUCACUGGGCGUAAAGCGCACGUAGGUGGGUCGUUAAGUCGGGGGUGAAAUCCCAGAGCUCAACUCCGGAACUGCCUUCGAUACUGGCGACCUUCGAGUUCGGGAGAGGUGAGUGGAACUGCGAGUGUAGAGGUGAAAUUCGUAGAUAUUCGCAAGAACACCAGUGGCGAAGGCGGCUCACUGGCCCGAUACUGACACUGAGGUGCGAAAGCGUGGGGAGCAAAC
Molecule: ribosomal RNA, 401 nt
Filed under: uncultured bacterium
Lineage: Bacteria
Description: bacterial SSU rRNA
Rfam family: Bacterial small subunit ribosomal RNA
Source: RNAcentral